RNAcentral lists this long non-coding RNA (899 nucleotides) under Brassica napus (rape). RNAcentral describes it as "long non-coding RNA (BNAP_LNC001164)". Lineage: Eukaryota; Viridiplantae; Streptophyta; Magnoliopsida; Brassicales; Brassicaceae. The record is from RNAcentral.
GGCACAAAACGUGCGUAGAGCCUUAAAGAUCGACCAUAAUAGCUGAUUGCCGGAAGGGAAAUCGCAAGCGACGAAGGAGAUGGUGAAGAUGGCGCUUCCCUAAUCUUUUUAGCUUUGUCCGUGUCACCACUUUGGGCAGAUACAAAGCCUAAUAAACAGAAAAUCAAUAAGUGCAAUGCCCACUUUUUGUCGAAAGCUAUUCGUUACCCAUCAAUUAAAAAAGAAAGGUGGGGUCCACUUAGUUUCCGACUUUUAUAAUAUACUCCCUCCGUUCCUAAAUGAUUCAUGUUUUAGAAAAAUAUUUUGUUUCUAAAAGAUCCAUAUUUUACAUUUUCAAUGUAUGUAAUAAUGAAAAAUUGUAAAUUUCAAAAACAUUAAUUGUGUUUACUGAAUUUUGAUUGGUUAAAAAUCAUAAGAAAUAGCUAAACACAGAAAAUCAUACAUUUAUUAUCAAAAUUUUAAGUGUUUUCUUAAUAAGUGUGAAAAUUCUAAAACAUAGAUUAUUUAGGAACAGAGGGAGUAUAUAUUAGUUUCGACCAUUAAUGUACAAAGUAUCCUUUAGAGCAUUGGUAUAGUUGUGGGUGCUUAUAUCUCAAUAACACAGGUUCGAGCCAUAUAUUUGAUAUUUUUUCACACUUUUAAAAAGUGGGACCCAUAAACCGCUGACGUGUCGCAUCAGGAGGAGAGAAACUCUCGUAUUAUAUAAUAGAUUUUCUUUAAACGUUAUUUAUAUAGCAAAAUCAUUUAUAAUGGUACGCCAAAUUUUACACUAUAAACAGAAUACUGUAAAAACAGGAUUUUUUUAAUUCCUAUAGUUAACUCUAUUUUUAAGUCCUAGAUUGGUGGUGGGUUGCAAGAUCUAUCGACAAUGAUGAGAAUUCAGUUCCUCCACAAAAUCU